RNAcentral lists this unclassified non-coding RNA (898 nucleotides) under Hevea brasiliensis (rubber tree). The record is from RNAcentral. Lineage: Eukaryota; Viridiplantae; Streptophyta; Magnoliopsida; Malpighiales; Euphorbiaceae.
UUCAAGGCCAAAAUAAGUGAUGACCCUUUAACCCCAGAAAGUCGCAAACUGCAUAUAUGGGCCUCCCAGCAUCUUCCUCAUCCUUGUGCCUCUCUACUAUUAUUCAUUUCUUGUGCUUCAACUUGCCAGCAGCCUCUUCCAUCCACAGCAACAAUGAGACAGAUGGACUUGCUUUGCUGGAAUUCAAGGCCAAAAUAAGUGAUGACCCUUUAACCCCAGAAAGUCGCAAACUGCAUAUAUGGGCCUCCCAGCAUCUUCCUCAUCCUUGUGCCUCUCUACUAUUAUUCAUUUCUUGUGCUUCAACUUGCCAGCAGCCUCUUCCAUCCACAGCAACAAUGAGACAGAUGGACUUGCUUUGCUGGAAUUCAAGGCCAAAAUAAGUGAUGACCCUUUUGGGUUCAUGAGCUCAUGGAAUAGUACUCUUCACUUCUGCCGCUGGUAUGGUGUCACCUGUGGGCGUAGACACCAAAGAGUCACAAUCUUAGACUUACAGUCCCUCAAACUUUCAGGUUCCAUAUCACCACAUGUUGGUAAUUUGAGCUUCUUAAGGGAGUUGUACCUUGCAAACAAUAGCUUCAUCCAUGAUAUCCCUCCUCAGAUUGGCCAUUUACGCAGACUGCAAAUUUUGUCUCUUUCUAACAAUUCAAUUGAUGGUCAAAUUCCUCCCACCAUAUCUAACUGUUCAAACCUUGUUAUCUUUGAUUUGGCUAACAACAAUCUCGUCCGAGAAAUCCCUAUGGAGCUUGGUUCCUUACUGAAGCUCAAAGAGAUCUAUUUACCUUACAAUAAUUUAGUAGGGACUCUCCCACCAUCUUUAGGGAAUUUGUCGUCCCUUCAGUUGCUUGCUGCAUAUCGAAAUCAUUUGAAUGGAGAUCUCCCAGAAACUUUAGGCCAAUUG